This 26-nucleotide non-coding RNA is filed under the name Rattus norvegicus (Norway rat). The record is from RNAcentral. Lineage: Eukaryota; Metazoa; Chordata; Mammalia; Rodentia; Muridae.
UUCGAAGAAGAUGCUCUUUCCUGGAC